UCUCUGUUCAUAGGUGUGAAAGAACAGUAUCAAAUUUCUGGUCAUUGUAUGAAGUAUUUAAAGUGCCAUGUGAGGCCCUAGUAAAACAUGAACUCAGAUAUUUUCAAAACAUGACUAUAAAAAUAAUUGAAGAGAUUUGGUAUACAUGAUGAAAUUUAGCAGUCAUGAUU
This is a long non-coding RNA of Pipistrellus kuhlii (Kuhl's pipistrelle), 170 nucleotides long. RefSeq lists it as uncharacterized. Lineage: Eukaryota; Metazoa; Chordata; Mammalia; Chiroptera; Vespertilionidae. The record is from RefSeq and is a predicted model, not a curated record. The transcript is spliced from 2 exons.